This 689-nucleotide long non-coding RNA is filed under the name Brassica napus (rape). RNAcentral's name for it is "long non-coding RNA (BNAP_LNC011333)". The record is from RNAcentral. Lineage: Eukaryota; Viridiplantae; Streptophyta; Magnoliopsida; Brassicales; Brassicaceae.
UAUCCCUGCAUCAAAAAUAUUUAGCGAUGUUUAGUUGUUAUUGCUAUAAAACUUCUUUUUUAUCACGCUAACAGUUUAACGUUUACUUGUUAGCCAAGUUUAACACUUCCAGUCGCAUCAGAUAUGGUAAGCAUUAAACGUGUUUGUGCUAGAUUCUUUACAAAACACUCAAAUCAAAGAUUAUAAAACCAACCUUGCACAACAUCCUCGAGAGUUCCUUCCAUCAUAACUUCAUCAUCAUCGUCGUCAAGUUCAAUGAUUUCUCUCACCGGAGUUGUGUUGCGGUUCCGAUUAAUACAGUAACUGUCAGCGUUAGCCAUCUCCAAAGACACGCGAUGAAAAAGAAGCAUCGCUUCCUCAGGAAAUAUCAUACAUGUGUCUGUUUACUUAGCAGUCUAACAGACACAUCAUACAGUCCAAAGAAAACAUUAGCAACCCAAACAUAUUACAGAACCAGCAACCACACAGGAUACAUGCGACAACAAGGAGACCCAACUUGCUAAGCCCUUUCCCUUUCCCAAACUAAACAUUUUAAAGACACCCACCCUCGGUGCUACUCCCUUCCGAUGAAGUUUGCUCUGCCCUCUCACCACCCUUCUUUGCACGUCCAACAUCUAUGUUACCCUUGCUCCCUUCAGCGAAUUCCGUUGGCGCCUUUUCCAAUGCUUUACCAGCCCUCUUCCCUGUUU